Tetranychus urticae (two-spotted spider mite) is the source of this 5582-nucleotide long non-coding RNA. RefSeq lists it as uncharacterized. The record is from RefSeq and is a predicted model, not a curated record. Lineage: Eukaryota; Metazoa; Arthropoda; Arachnida; Trombidiformes; Tetranychidae.
AAGAUACCUUGAAAUGUUUAAAACGGUUAAAGAAAAGUCACAAGUUGAAUUUCAAUUUUUAUCCGUUGAAUGUCUUAACCAGAUUUUGUUAUAAAUGGCUAAACAUGUCAGACGAUAUUCGACUGAAAAAGCUGUUUGAAAUAAAGAUGGCAAAUUGAUAAGAAAUACUCUAAAAUUUAUCGGAUCCAAUGUAUUGUUAAAAGAUCAGAUAAUUACCAGGCCUUUUCUCUUAUUACAUCAGAUGUCAGUAGAAAAAACGUUUGCUUUCUCUUUGAUUUUAUCUUGUGAUUUUUUCUUUGUUUCAUUUUAAAAUGUUCAAUCAAUCACAAGUUUUCAGUUAAAAAGUGAUUUAUUUAGUGUUUUCAAUUCUUUUUUUGCCAUGUAUUCCGAGGUGGGAUUGAUUGGAUUAUCGGACAAAAAGAUUGGUAAAAAAUUGUGCAAAAAAGUAAACCUUUUUCUUCAACCAUCGAUCCAUUGAAAAUUGGUGAUGAUUGGCUAGUUAUUUUAUUCAAUUUUACAUUGUUUUUUGUUAUUGAUUUUUUUCUGUCUUGCACUUGUUCUUUGUAUCAAUCUAUUUGUUAUGUUAAUUCAAUUUGAUCAUUUUAUUAACCCAUGUUAACAUUGAAAACAAUUAUAGUCAUCAUUGCUUAUUCACAAUGAAUCCUAACGACAUCUUUUAUUUAAUUUUGUUUUUUUCAUUUCACUCUUUACUUUCUUCUUUUUUGCUUUUCCCUGUCCUUUUUGCAAAUUGGUUCAUCCAUUUUAAAUCAACAUUUCCAUACAUCAGAACGCAACUUAUUUCUGUGACCUCAUUAUCAAAUUUGAAAAUUUGGUACGUCGAUCUAGUUUGCAUGUCCAUGCAUGAUAAUGACUCAAUGCUUUAAUCCAGUGUUCAAUUGAGCGGGAGAUUUUUCACAAUAAUCAUUCAAAGGAAACAAAUAUUGCUCGGAAAAAUUAUGACUGGUUACGUAAAACGCGAUUUUUACACGAAGCGAUUCGCUUCUCAUUGGUACCUUAUUAUGAGAUUUUGAUGGUUCACUGAAUCAUUUUAAACUCUUUGAUAUGCAAGUUGUUAUGAUCAACUAAUGAGAUAAGAUUGGUAAAAAGAAAUGGAGAUUAACAUGAAGUUUCAAUGGAAAAAUCAAUAUUCAUGGAACCAGGGAGGCGAAGAAAAAGUAUCAGUUGUAUACUAAUAAGGUGAAAGAUUCAAGACUAAAGGAAACAAUUAAUUUAAAUAGAGUUAUACAUGAACAAAAGUUAUAACAUCGUUCAUCAAUGUUAAGAACUGUUUAGUUGAUAUCAAUAUCUAGAUAGAUCAUCACUGUUUAUUUCCCAAUUCAUUUUUUGUUCAAUGAUGCCUUUACUGGAAAUGGUUUUCCCUGAAAAAUUAUCAAUAUCCGAUUUCUCAUGACAUCUGGUAAAUAAUACAAUAAUAAUACUGAUCAUCGUGUUUGCUCUGAUGCUGCUCAAGACUACACUGGAGCUCCUAUGAAUGGUUUGAAGUGAAAGGAAAUUCAAGUACAGAAAGGAUGACCAGAAAGAGAUGCAGUAAUCAAAUCAUUUGAUCAAAUUUUAAAGUCAAGAUUAAUAGGCCUGUGGAGUUGCUGAUUAUCAAUAUGAUUACCAAAUCAUUUUCAAUUUCAUAUCGUAAUCAGAGUUAGUUGGGCAACUAUUUCCUGAAGAAAUACUCAUUUGGUGAAACUUAAUGAUCAAUAAAGGAGGAAAAAUGACCUUAAGAUAUCAGCAGAUUAUUUAUAAACACACUCUUACAAACUCACAAAUUCACUCAAUGAAAAACUCUCAAUAAGCUGAAUGUAGCUUGAAAGAAUACUCAGUCUUUGAAGGUUCUUUUAUCAUUAAUGAAAUAGAGAGAUGAGAAAAUGUAGAAUAAGAAGAGUAAAGAGAUGAUAACUACUCUUUGAUUCCAACGUUUACUUCUCUUAUUAGCUGGUAACCUUUAGUCAAAGCUUACAACAAAAGUUUCCUUUGCAAAAGAGUUUACUCUCAAGUGAGAGAUAAACAGAGAUCGUUAUAUUCAUCAUACAAAUUGUGGAUAUAUUUAUAUAUAUUAUCCAUUCUUUAUAAUAGUUUUUAUCCUUUUCUUAUCAUUUUAUCUUAUUACUAACCUUCAUCUCUUUAUUUUAGUAACUCUGAUUAUGUUCAUCUCACUCUCUCCCAAUUGAUCAACCAUGCAAGCUGAUUGUUAUUAAUCCCAUUUCCUUUCCUAUCUCAAUUCAUUUAGAUUUUCAAAGGGUAAAAUUGUCAUCAUUAGUGUCUUCAAGUUUAACCCCCUGUUUUGUUCACCAGCAUUUGAAUUACUCUGAUUGUUUAUUUCCAACUCUUCCAGGCCUUUUAAUUAUAUAAUAUAAUCCGUUUUCUCUCUCUCUCUCUCUUUCAUUCAUCCCAGAAUAAGUACAGUCUAAGACCAUGGAAGAAAAUGUGAUCCAACAAGAAAAACUUGCAACCUCUGAAUGUCACGAUUCAACUAACUCAGAUUCAAUCAAUGCUUGAGCAAGUUAUAAGUCAAAUCAUUGGAAAGAAUUUCUUGAGAAUUCUUCUUUCACAAUUUCUUCGCCCUUAGCUUAUUAUCAAAAAGGCAUCAAAGAAUAGUUUAAAAGAUUAAUUAUUACAUGAUCCCAGAAAGUCUGAACAUGAUAAUUUAAUAAACGAUUUAGCUAAAUUGUGAACUUUCCUAAUGUUAUGCACAGACUUUCCAGUUGCUAUUAACAUUUAACAAUCUGGUCUAUUUUUGGUUUUCAUUUAUCUAAUUUUUUUUUCUUACUCUUUUCAGUUGUUUCUCCAAGCUGGUCAACAUUUAUUCUGGUUGGGUCCAUUUGAUUUAAGCUUGGAUAUAAAAUAGGAUAACUUGGGAAAAAUAACAACAUUGAGCGGUUAUGUCAACAAUGACUACUUCCAUCACACAAUAUUGCUGGAAGCUUGGCAAUAAAUCUUCACUAUUCUCUAGUUCUGCUAACUACAUGUUAUAUCCAUGAACUAAAAGCAAAUUCACCUUUCAGUUUAUUUUAACUUAAUAAGGUGUUGAUGAAUAACCAAUUUCAUCUCAAAUAUUUUUCGGUUAACUCUUACAAGAAAUAAUUUUUUGGUUGCCAGAGUUUCCUUUCAUCGAAAUGUCCAAGUAAAGGUUUUGGAUUAACAUUUCAAUCUGUACAAUGAUGAAUUUGUGGACAACAUUCCUCUCAAAUAUACCAGAUAAAAAAAUGACAAAUGACCAGAGAAGUACAUGUUUGACAUUUAAGUUAAUCUCAUCUUACAAGGAUUUUUGACCGAAUGGACUACCAAUCGACUGAAUUUGAAACCACACUCACCACUAUCCAUUCACAGUCCAUUAAUCACGUCAUUGAAAUAACUAAUUGUUCAGAAGGGAAUUGAAGAACUGUAAUUGCGAUGAAAUUAAAUAUGAUUCCAAAGCGAUUCUUGGAUGGUUAAAGGAGUAAAUGAAGAGGAGAGACCAAGAAGGGUUAAAGGCUGGAAUGAUUUCAAAUGAUGUUUAACCGAAGUGGAGAGGAACCAAGCAACGUAAAAGUUAUACUUAUUGACUAACAGUCGAGAAUGAAUCAAAGAAGGAUUUUCAAUUAGUUAUUCUCUUUUAAUGAUGAAUCAAUAUAAUCAACAUCAACACGGUGUCAGAUGAAUACACGAGGAAAAGACUGAAAGAGCUGUGAUUUUUCGAUGAAAAAGAAACUGCAACAUGCUUUACCUUUUUUUCAUCAUUUAUUUCACUGGAAACUGUUUAUUCCUGAAAUGUCUUUAAAUUCUAAUUUGCUGAUUUGGAGGAAAAGUAUAAAUCUAAUGACAAAUUUUGCCAAUGUGUCCAUUUAAUGGCACUCUAAUGGUAAUCAUCGUGUAAUGUGUUUACCUGUAAAAAGUGGAAGUUGAAACUCUUGGAACACAAGAGGUCCAUAUUUUUUCGGGAAUAAAAAAGGCUAAAAGAAUACAAAACUUGGAAAUUUCGUUGCUCAUAAUGUGUAUUAUUUGAAGCAACACUUUUCUUGAGAUUUCACGCAAUCUGCUCAUCAUCAUGGUUUUUCUGGAAAAGCUUAGGCAUCAUUAACAGCUUCCCAUCGACAGAAAGGUUUUUGUUUUUUACUUACACCUUAAAGAGAAAUAUCAACAGACUGACUAACACUUUGUUCACAUCGGAAUUUAACUUAAACAAGUAAAUCGAAGGAAUAAACUGAUGGAUUUGCUUGGAACAAAGAUUUGAAGGAAAAAGAGGCGAAAAGGAAGUUCUGAAGAGCACCAGAAGCUUUGAAAUUUCAACCAAAGAUAAUGGUGACAAUUGGAGACAGAAUUGAAACAAGAAAUGAGAGCAAAAAAGUGAAAUAAAACAUAGGAAAAGGAAAGACCAAGAAGAUGGUUAAACUGACGAAACAUUAUGAAAGGAAAGGAAUGGAGGGCUUCAAAUGGGAACAAGAAGUCGAUAUUAAUAAGGACAACAAUAUCAUGUUUGAAGAGAAUGUUAUUUCUAUUUCAAGUGGUAAAAAGGUCCAAAAAUAUUGUCUAAAUUAAUAAGCUGAUAAAGAGAGGACAAGGAGAAAGGAAAAGACAGAAGCUCGGAAAACAUGGAAACCGAGAUGAACAACUCAAUCAUAUUGAAAUUACUUGAGUCUAUAUAAAUAUUGUUAACACUGAACGAGAAAGAUGAUCGAGAAAAUAUGAAAAAGAGGUAAAAAAACAAAGGCAACAAAAAAGUGAAAAGAUGAAGGAAAGAAACAAUUCUAAAGCACUUCAUAUUUCGUUUUGAUAUAACUGUAAAGGCACCACUUUACUUCACCACCAUCAUCUAUUUUAACUCCCUGAUUAUUUCAUCCCAUUUUUGUGUAUUUAUAUAUUUAACUUCACUAUUGGUACACAGUAUUUCAAUCAAAAUCCCUGUCAACUUUCCUUAACAAUUCCUCCAACAUUUUCAUGCCUUCUCUUCUUUCCCUUGCCUUGUCUUUUUCCUGGUCUUUCUCUUGCUCUUUCCUUUUCUCUUUCUACCAAAUAUAAUGUCAAAACCAUUGACAGGUUUUAGGUUUCUUGAGCUGGAAAAGGCAAAGAAAAAGAUAGAAAAGAAAGAAAAGAAAGAAGAAAAAGGCAGAAAAAACCAAAUAUCAAGUUUUAUUUAAAGGGAAACGAUAAGAGGAAAAGGUUUAUCGCUGACUGAGUGUGAGUAUGAAGCCUAAAAUCGUCUUUCUCUUCCUUCAUUGAGUAUGUUUAACACUUGGAAUGAUGGAUACUGACAAAUAUAUCAAUCAAACAAGUUCAUGGAAACACCAUGUUAUCUAAAUGUGUUUAAGCCAGUUACAAAGGAAAAGCAAACGAGAAGAAAAUAAAAAUCAAUUGCAUCCAUAAACAUAAUAUAAAUGUACUUCUAAAGUAUCUCUCAUCUUCAUUAUUAGGCCAGUUGAUUGGGAACAUCCAACAAUGAAAAACGGAACCAAGAGUUUAACAUUAAAUCAGAGAUUAAUUAUUAUGUGAUGACCGAAUUUUUUGGCUCUUCCUUUGGUUGAUGACAAGACAACGUAAGAGCAAAUUAAAAGCAAUUAAUCAAUUGAAGAGCGUGAAAGUUGAAUGAAUGA